This 560-nucleotide ribosomal RNA is filed under the name uncultured bacterium. RNAcentral's name for it is "bacterial SSU rRNA". It matches the Rfam family "Bacterial small subunit ribosomal RNA", at positions 38 to 587 of the family's 1533-position model. The record is from RNAcentral.
GGCGGCAUGCUUUACACAUGCAAGUCGAACGGUAACAGGGAAAAGCUUGCUUUUCUGCUGACGAGUGGCGAACGGGUGAGUAAUACAUCGGAACGUGCCCUGUAGUGGGGGAUAACUACUCGAAAGAGUGGCUAAUACCGCAUACAACCUGAGGGUAAAAGUGGGGGACCGCAAGGCCUCACGCUAUAGGAGCGGCCGAUGGAAGAUUAGGUAGUUGGUAGGGUAAAGGCCUACCAAGCCGACGAUCUUUAGCGGGUCUGAGAGGACGAUCCGCCACACUGGGACUGAGACACGGCCCAGACUCCUACGGGAGGCAGCAGUGGGGAAUUUUGGACAAUGGGGGCAACCCUGAUCCAGCAAUGCCGCGUGAGUGAAGAAGGCCUUCGGGUUGUAAAGCUCUUUUGUUUGGGAAGAAAUCCCUAAGGAUAAUACCCUUGGGGGAUGACGGUACCAAAAGAAUAAGCACCGGCUAACUACGUGCCAGCAGCCGCGGUAAUACGUAGGGUGCAAGCGUUAAUCGGAAUUACUGGGCGUAAAGCGUGCGCAGGCGGUUUUGUAAG